Pelobates cultripes (western spadefoot toad) is the source of this 167-nucleotide non-coding RNA. NCBI's taxonomy places the organism in Eukaryota, Metazoa, Chordata, Amphibia, Anura, Pelobatidae. The record is from the annotation of a GenBank genome assembly.
GCAGACACAUUACAGCCAAUCAGCAGCAGACCCUUCCUCCCAGACCCUCCCACCUCCUGGACAGCUCACUAAGAAUGCAGCUUCACAAUGAAUGUAAAAUGGAUGCUGUCCAGGAGGUGGAAGGGUAUGGGAGGGAGGGUCUGCUGCUGAUUGGCUGGAAUGUGUCU